UCAAACUUGGUCAUUUAGAGGAAGUAAAAGUCGUAACAAGGUUUCCGUAGGUGAACCUGCGGAAGGAUCAUUACCGAAUCGUCGACAGCAGCUGUUGCUGGUCCUCCUAGAGGGGACAUGUGCACGCUCUGUUUACACAUCCACUCACACCUGUGCACUUUCUGUAGUCCUGUGGUAUGGGAGACCCUGUCUUCCUUCUGUAGGCCUGCUCUUUUACAUACACUCUUUAACAAAGUAUCAUGGAAUGUGGUUCUGCGUUUAACGCGAUACAGUACAACUUUCAGCAACGGAUCUCUUGGCUCUCGCAUCAAUGAAGAACGCAGC
Molecule: unclassified non-coding RNA, 324 nt
Filed under: uncultured fungus
Lineage: Eukaryota; Fungi
Description: partial contains small subunit ribosomal RNA, internal transcribed spacer 1, and 5.8S ribosomal RNA
Rfam family: Eukaryotic small subunit ribosomal RNA (bases 1-73)
Source: RNAcentral